RNAcentral lists this ribosomal RNA (521 nucleotides) under uncultured bacterium. RNAcentral describes it as "bacterial SSU rRNA". It matches the Rfam family "Bacterial small subunit ribosomal RNA", at positions 342 to 861 of the family's 1533-position model. The record is from RNAcentral.
CGGGAGGCCACAGUGGGGAAUCUUGCACAAUGGGGUCACCCCUGAUGCAGCCAUGCCGCGUGGAGGAAGACACCCCUAUGGGGCGUAAACUCCUUUUCUGAGAGAAGAACCCCCUGUAGGUUCAGGGUGUGACGGUAUCUCAGGAAUAAGCACCGGCUAUCUCCGUGCCAGCAGCCGCGGUAAUACGGAGGGUGCAAGCGUUGUCCGGAAUCACUGGGCGUAAAGGGUGCGCAGGCGGGGCAGCAAGUCGGAGGUGAAAGCCUGUGGCUCAACCACGGAAGUGCCUUCGAAACUGUUGCUCUUGAGUCCCGGAGAGGUUGCCGGAAUUCGUGGUGUAGCGGUGAAAUGCGUAGAUAUCACGAGGAACACCAGAGGCGAAAGCGGGCAACUGGACGGGUACUGACGCUCAGGCACGAAAGCGCGGGGAGCAAACAGGAUUAGAUACCCUGGUAGUCCGCGCCGUAAACGAUGAAUGCUUCGCCGUUAUUCCGCUUAAGGAAUAGUGGCUAAGCUAACGCGUU